UGGGGAAUAUUGGACAAUGGGGGCAACCCUGAUCCAGCAAUGCCGCGUGUGUGAAGAAGGUCUUCGGAUUGUAAAGCACUUUCGACGGGGACGAUGAUGACGGUACCCGUAGAAGAAGCCCCGGCUAACUUCGUGCCAGCAGCCGCGGUAAUACGAAGGGGGCUAGCGUUGCUCGGAAUGACUGGGCGUAAAGGGCGUGUAGGCGGUUUACACAGUCAGAUGUGAAAUCCCCGGGCUUAACCUGGGAGCUGCAUUUGAUACGUGUAGACUAGAGUGUGAGAGAGGGUUGUGGAAUUCCCAGUGUAGAGGUGAAAUUCGUAGAUAUUGGGAAGAACACCGGUGGCGAAGGCGGCAACCUGGC
Molecule: ribosomal RNA, 361 nt
Filed under: uncultured bacterium
Lineage: Bacteria
Description: partial 16S ribosomal RNA
Rfam family: Bacterial small subunit ribosomal RNA
Source: RNAcentral